GAGUUUGAUCAUGGCUCAGGAUGAACGCUAGCGGCAGGCUUAAUACAUGCAAGUCGUGGGGCAGCAUGACUGUAGCAAUACAGUUGAUGGCGACCGGCAAACGGGUGCGGAACACGUACACAACCUUCCUUUAAGUGGGGGAUAGCCCAGGGAAACUUGGAUUAAUACCCCGUAAUAUAUAGAAGUGGCAUCGCUUUUAUAUUAUAGCAGCAAUGCGCUUGAAGACGGGUGUGCGGCUGAUUAGAUAGUUGGCGGGGUAACGGCCCACCAAGUCGACGAUCAGUAACUGGUGUGAGAGCACGACCAGUCACACGGGCACUGAGACACGGGCCCGACUCCUACGGGAGGCAGCAGUAAGGAAUAUUGGUCAAUGGACGCAAGUCUGAACCAGCCAUGCCGCGUGGAGGAUGAAGGUCCUCUGGAUUGUAAACUUCUUUUAUUUGGGAAGAAAUCCACUUUUUCUAAGGUGGUUGACGGUACCAGAUGAAUAAGCACCGGCUAACUCCGUGCCAGCC
Molecule: ribosomal RNA, 515 nt
Filed under: uncultured Sphingobacterium sp.
Lineage: Bacteria; Pseudomonadati; Bacteroidota; Sphingobacteriia; Sphingobacteriales; Sphingobacteriaceae
Also listed under: 1 other name
Description: bacterial SSU rRNA
Rfam family: Bacterial small subunit ribosomal RNA
Source: RNAcentral